GGCCGCUAAUACCCCAUAUGCCGAGAGGUGAAACGAAUUUCGCCUGAGGAUGAGCCCGCGUCUGAUUAGCUAGUUGGUGGGGUAAGAGCCCACCAAGGCGACGAUCAGUAGCUGGUCUGAGAGGAUGAUCAGCCACACUGGGACUGAGACACGGCCCAGACUCCUACGGGAGGCAGCAGUGGGGAAUUUUCCGCAAUGGGCGAAAGCCUGACGGAGCAACGCCGCGUGAGGGAUGAAGGCCUCUGGGCUGUAAACCUCUUUUCUCAAGGGAGAAGACAUGACGGUACUUGAGGAAUAAGCCACGGCUAAUUCCGUGCCAGCAGCCGCGGUAAUACGGGAGUGGCAAGCGUUAUCCGGAAUUAUUGGGCGUAAAGCGUCCGCAGGCGGCUCUGUAAGUCUGUUGUUAAAGCGUGGAGCUCAACUCCAUUUCAGCAAUGGAAACUACAGGGCUUGAGUGUGGUAGGGGCAGAGGGAAUUCCCGGUGUAGCGGUGAAAUGCGUAGAUAUCGGGAAGAACACCAGUGGCGAAGGCGCUCUGCUGGGCCAUAACUGACGCUCAUGGACGAAAGCCAGGGGAGCGAAAGGGAUUAGAUACCCCUGUAGUCCUGGCCGUAAACGAUGAACACUAGGUGUCGGGGGAAUCGACCCCCUCGGUGUCGUAGCCAACGCGUUAAGUGUUCCGCCUGGGGAGUACGCACGCAAGUGUGAAACUCAAAGGAAUUGACGGGGGCCCGCACAAGCGGUGGAGUAUGUGGUUUAAUUCGAUGCAACGCGAAGAACCUUACCAGGGUUUGACAUCCUGCGAAUCCCUUGGAAACUUGGGAGUGCCUUCGGGAGCGCAGAGACAGGUGGUGCAUGGCUGUCGUCAGCUCGUGUCGUGAGAUGUUGGGUUAAGUCCCGCAACGAGCGCAACCCACGUCUUUAGUUGCCAGCAUUCAGUUGGGCACUCUAGGGAGACCGCCGGUGAUAAACCGGAGGAAGGUGUGGAUGACGUCAAGUCAUCAUGCCCCUUACAUCCUGGGCUACACACGUACUACAAUGCUACGGACAGAGGGCAGCAAGCUCGCGAGAGUUAGCAAAUCCCAUAAACCGUGGCUCAGUUCAGAUCGUAGGCUGCAACUCGCCUACGUGAAGGAGGAAUCGCUAGUAUCGCAGGUCAGCAUACUGCGGUGAAUACGUUCCCGGGCCUUGUACACACCGCCCGUCACACCAUGGAAGUUGGCCAUGCCCGAAGUCGUUACUCCAACCCUUGUGGAGGAGGACGCCGAAGGUGGGGCUGAUGACUGGGGUGAAGUCGUAACAAGGUA
Molecule: ribosomal RNA, 1306 nt
Filed under: metagenome
Description: bacterial SSU rRNA
Rfam family: Bacterial small subunit ribosomal RNA
Source: RNAcentral